Molecule: ribosomal RNA, 255 nt
Filed under: uncultured bacterium
Lineage: Bacteria
Description: partial 16S ribosomal RNA
Rfam family: Bacterial small subunit ribosomal RNA
Source: RNAcentral
GACGAACCGUGCGAACGUUAUUCGGAAUCAUUGGGCUUAAAGGGUGCGUAGGCGGCGAUAUAAGUUGGAAGUGAAAUCCCAUCGGCUCAACCGUGGAAUAGCUCCCAGUACUGUAUCGCUCGAGGGGGAUAGGGGUCUGCGGAACUACCGGUGGAGCGGUGAAAUGUGUUGAUAUCGGUGGGAACGCCAGUGGCGAAAGCGGCAGACUUGACCCUUCCUGACGCUGAGUGCCCGAAAGCUAGGGGAGCAAGCGGG